Long non-coding RNA from Xenia sp. Carnegie-2017, 206 nucleotides. RefSeq lists it as uncharacterized. Lineage: Eukaryota; Metazoa; Cnidaria; Anthozoa; Malacalcyonacea; Xeniidae. The transcript is spliced from 2 exons. The record is from RefSeq and is a predicted model, not a curated record.
CCUCAUUAUCUUGUAUUACCUGAUAAGUCUGAACAUCAUGAAGUAAAGAUGUAUGUUAGUCAAGAUGAUAUCAAAGUCGUCACUUCAAAAAAGAUAGAAAUGAAAUUCUGAGUGAUUAUUUUAGGAGUUUAAUGGCAUCAUUUAUGAACCAAGGGAAUUCUUAAAACAUUUAUAUCCUCUUGAUUAAACAAAUUUCAACCAUAAAA